This 498-nucleotide ribosomal RNA is filed under the name Bacillus mojavensis. Its description in RNAcentral is "bacterial SSU rRNA". It matches the Rfam family "Bacterial small subunit ribosomal RNA", at positions 1 to 493 of the family's 1533-position model. The record is from RNAcentral. Lineage: Bacteria; Bacillati; Bacillota; Bacilli; Caryophanales; Bacillaceae.
UUUAGAGUUUUGGAUCCUGGCUCAGGACGAACGCUGGCGGCGUGCCUAAUACAUGCAAGUCGAGCGGACAGAUGGGAGCUUGCUCCCUGAUGUUAGCGGCGGACGGGUGAGUAACACGUGGGUAACCUGCCUGUAAGACUGGGAUAACUCCGGGAAACCGGGGCUAAUACCGGAUGCUUGUUUGAACCGCAUGGUUCAAACAUAAAAGGUGGCUUCGGCUACCACUUACAGAUGGACCCGCGGCGCAUUAGCUAGUUGGUGAGGUAACGGCUCACCAAGGCAACGAUGCGUAGCCGACCUGAGAGGGUGAUCGGCCACACUGGGACUGAGACACGGCCCAGACUCCUACGGGAGGCAGCAGUAGGGAAUCUUCCGCAAUGGACGAAAGUCUGACGGAGCAACGCCGCGUGAGUGAUGAAGGUUUUCGGAUCGUAAAGCUCUGUUGUUAGGGAAGAACAAGUACCGUUCNAAUAGGGCGGUACCCUGACGNACNACCNA